RNAcentral lists this unclassified non-coding RNA (189 nucleotides) under soil metagenome. Its description in RNAcentral is "partial internal transcribed spacer 1". The record is from RNAcentral.
CACAAUAAAAUAUGAAGGCUGUACGCGGCUGUGCUCUCGGGCCAGUUUUGCGGAGGCUGAAUUAUUUAUUACCCUUGUCUUUUGCGCACUUGUUGUUUCCUGGGCGGGUUCGCCCGCCACCAGGACCACAUCAUAAACCUUUUUUAUGCAGUUGCAAUCAGCGUCAGUAUAACGAAUGUAAAUCAUUUA